RNAcentral lists this ribosomal RNA (496 nucleotides) under uncultured bacterium. RNAcentral's name for it is "partial 16S ribosomal RNA". It matches the Rfam family "Bacterial small subunit ribosomal RNA", at positions 30 to 523 of the family's 1533-position model. The record is from RNAcentral.
AUUGAACGCUGGCGGAAUGCUUUACACAUGCAAGUCGAACGGUAGAGGGGGCAACCCCUCGAGAGUGGCGAACGGGUGAGUAAUAUAUCGGAACGUGCCCAGUCGUGGGGGAUAACGUAGCGAAAGUUACGCUAAUACCGCAUACGAUCUAAGGAUGAAAGCGGGGGAUCGCAAGACCUCGCGCGAUUGGAGCGGCCGAUAUCAGAUUAGGUAGUUGGUGGGGUAAAGGCUCACCAAGCCAACGAUCGGUAGCUGGGCUGAGAGGACGACCUGCAAAACUGGAAAUGAGACAAGGUCCAGAUUCCUACGGGAGGCAGCAGUGGGGAAUUUUGGACAAUGGACGCAAGUCUGAUCCAGCCAUUCCGCGUGCAGGAUGAAGGCCCUCGGGUUGUAAACUGCUUUUAUACGGAACGAAAAGGUCUCUCUUAAUACGGGGGACUCAUGACGGUACCGUAAGAAUAAGCACCGGCUAACUACGUGCCAGCCGCCGCAGUAA